RNAcentral lists this ribosomal RNA (918 nucleotides) under uncultured bacterium. RNAcentral describes it as "bacterial SSU rRNA". It matches the Rfam family "Bacterial small subunit ribosomal RNA", at positions 8 to 916 of the family's 1533-position model. The record is from RNAcentral.
AGAGUUUGAUCCUGGCUCAGGAUGAACGCUAGCUACAGGCUUAACACAUGCAAGUCGAGGGGAAACGAUAGAGAAAGCUUGCUUUUUCUAGGCGUCGACCGGCGCACGGGUGAGUAACGCGUAUCCAACCUGCCCACCACUUGGGGAUAACCUUGCGAAAGUAAGACUAAUACCCAAUGAUAUCUCUAGAAGACAUCUGAAGGAGAUUAAAGAUUUAUCGGUGAUGGAUGGGGAUGCGUCUGAUUAGCUUGUUGGCGGGGUAACGGCCCACCAAGGCGACGAUCAGUAGGGGUUCUGAGAGGAAGGUCCCCCACAUUGGAACUGAGACACGGUCCAAACUCCUACGGGAGGCAGCAGUGAGGAAUAUUGGUCAAUGGGCGAGAGCCUGAACCAGCCAAGUAGCGUGCAGGAUGACGGCCCUAUGGGUUGUAAACUGCUUUUAUAAGGGAGUAAAGUGGGAGUCGUGACUCCUUUUGCAUGUACCUUAUGAAUAAGGACCGGCUAAUUCCGUGCCAGCAGCCGCGGUAAUACGGAAGGUCCGGGCGUUAUCCGGAUUUAUUGGGUUUAAAGGGAGCGUAGGCCGGAGAUUAAGCGUGUUGUGAAAUGUAGACGCUCAACGUCUGCACUGCAGCGCGAACUGGUUUCCUUGAGUACGCACAAAGUGGGCGGAAUUCGUGGUGUAGCGGUGAAAUGCUUAGAUAUCACGAAGAACUCCGAUUGCGAAGGCAGCUCACUGGAGCGCAACUGACGCUGAAGCUCGAAAGUGCGGGUAUCAAACAGGAUUAGAUACCCUGGUAGUCCGCACGGUAAACGAUGGAUGCCCGCUGUUGGUCUGAAUAGGUCAGCGGCCAAGCGAAAGCAUUAAGCAUCCCACCUGGGGAGUACGCCGGCAACGGUGAAACUCAAAUGAAUUGACGG